Molecule: ribosomal RNA, 587 nt
Filed under: Pichia kudriavzevii
Lineage: Eukaryota; Fungi; Ascomycota; Pichiomycetes; Pichiales; Pichiaceae
Description: partial large subunit ribosomal RNA
Rfam family: Eukaryotic large subunit ribosomal RNA
Source: RNAcentral
UUUGCAUAUCAAAAAGCGGAGGAAAAGAAACCAACAGGGAUUGCCUCAGUAGCGGCGAGUGAAGCGGCAAGAGCUCAGAUUUGAAAUCGUGCUUUGCGGCACGAGUUGUAGAUUGCAGGUUGGAGUCUGUGUGGAAGGCGGUGUCCAAGUCCCUUGGAACAGGGCGCCCAGGAGGGUGAGAGCCCCGUGGGAUGCCGGCGGAAGCAGUGAGGCCCUUCUGACGAGUCGAGUUGUUUGGGAAUGCAGCUCCAAGCGGGUGGUAAAUUCCAUCUAAGGCUAAAUACUGGCGAGAGACCGAUAGCGAACAAGUACUGUGAAGGAAAGAUGAAAAGCACUUUGAAAAGAGAGUGAAACAGCACGUGAAAUUGUUGAAAGGGAAGGGUAUUGCGCCCGACAUGGGGAUUGCGCACCGCUGCCUCUCGUGGGCGGCGCUCUGGGCUUUCCCUGGGCCAGCAUCGGUUCUUGCUGCAGGAGAAGGGGUUCUGGAACGUGGCUCUUCGGAGUGUUAUAGCCAGGGCCAGAUGCUGCGUGCGGGGACCGAGGACUGCGGCCGUGUAGUCACGGAUUGGGAUGCCGGGGGCCACGGA